GGAGUGGGACGGAUCGUCGCUUGGGGGAGACCCCGAGAGGAAAGUCCGGGCUCCACAGGGCAGGACGCCGGGUAACACCCGGGAGGGGCGACCCUCUGACAGCGCCACAGAAAGCAAACCGCCCAGGUAUUGGGUAAGGGUGAAACGGUGGUGUAAGAGACCACCAGAUCCGGCAGCAAUGCCGGAUGCUCGGCAUACCACGUCCGGAGCAAGACCAAAUAGGGGAGGCGGCUUGCCCGGCCACAUGUCUCCCGGGUCGGUUGCUAGAGGGCACAGGCGACUGUGUCUCCAGAGGAAUGACGGUCCCGCGAUCCCUGACGGAUCGUACGACAAAACCCGGCUUACAGUUCCGCUCCGCCC
RNAcentral lists this RNase P RNA (360 nucleotides) under Desulfovibrio sp. An276. Its description in RNAcentral is "Bacterial RNase P class A". It matches the Rfam family "Bacterial RNase P class A". From Rfam's summary of the family: Ribonuclease P (RNase P) is a ubiquitous endoribonuclease, found in archaea, bacteria and eukarya as well as chloroplasts and mitochondria. Its best characterised activity is the generation of mature 5'-ends of tRNAs by cleaving the 5'-leader elements of precursor-tRNAs. Lineage: Bacteria; Pseudomonadati; Thermodesulfobacteriota; Desulfovibrionia; Desulfovibrionales; Desulfovibrionaceae. The record is from Rfam by way of RNAcentral.